UACCAUCUUAAGGGCCGCGUUGCGGAAGUGUACCAUCUUAAGGGCCGCGUUGCGGAAGUGUAAUCUUAAGGGCCGCGUUGCGGAAGUGUACCAUCUUAAGGGCCGCAUUGCGGAAGUGUAAUCUUAAGGGCCGCGUUGCGGAAGUGUAAUCUUAAGGGCCGCGUUGCGGAAGUGUAUCAUCUUUGUCAGUGCAGGUAGUGCAGCGCAGUCAGCGCGGGGUUGUCAGCGCAGUCGGUGCAGCGCAGUCGGUGCGAGGUUGUCAACACAGAUCACUUGAGUCUUCCCAGCACAGGGAAUCGUGUAUGCUUAAU
RNAcentral lists this long non-coding RNA (311 nucleotides) under Salvia miltiorrhiza (redroot sage). RNAcentral describes it as "long non-coding RNA (SMIL_LNC012766)". The record is from RNAcentral. Lineage: Eukaryota; Viridiplantae; Streptophyta; Magnoliopsida; Lamiales; Lamiaceae.